Molecule: non-coding RNA, 793 nt
Organism: Ciona savignyi (Pacific transparent sea squirt)
Lineage: Eukaryota; Metazoa; Chordata; Ascidiacea; Phlebobranchia; Cionidae
Source: Rfam
GGGGAAUCAGGGUUCGAUUCCGGAGAGGGAGCUUGAGAAACGGCUACCACAUCCAAGGAAGGCAGCAGGCGCGCAAAUUACCCAUUCCCGACGCGGGGAGGUAGUGACGAAAAAUAACAAUGCAGGACUCGUUUGAGGCCCUGUAAUUGGAAUGAGUACACUUUAAAAGCUUUAACGAGUAUCCAUUGGAGGGCAAGUCUGGUGCCAGCAGCCGCGGUAAUUCCAGCUCCAAAAGUAUAUAUUUAAGUUGUUGCGGUUAAAAAGCUCGUAGUUGGAUUUUGGGCGCAGGCGGCCGGUCCGUCGCAAGGCGUGUACUGGACGUCCUGGCCUUCCCUCCGGUUCUCCGCCGGUGCUCUUGACUGAGUGUCGGCGGCGGCCGGAACGUUUACUUUGAAAAAAUUAGAGUGUUCAAAGCAGGCUCUCGAGCCUGGAUAAUGGUGCAUGGAAUAAUGGAAUAGGACCUCGGUUCUAUUUUGUUGGUUUUCGGAGCGCGAGGUAAUGAUUAAGAGGGACAGACGGGGGCAUUCGUACUGUGCCGUUAGAGGUGAAAUUCUUGGAUCGGCGCAAGACGAACGACUGCGAAAGCAUUUGCCAAGAAUGUUUUCUUUAAUCAAGAGCGAAAGUCAGAGGUUCGAAGACGAUCAGAUACCGUCCUAGUUCUGACUAUAAACGAUGCCAACUAGCGAUCGGGGGGCGUUACAUUGACGACCCCUCCGGCAGCUUACGGGAAACAAAGUCUUUGGGUUCCGGGGGAAAGUAUGGUUGCAAAGCUGAAACUUAAAGGAAUUGACGG